GGGGUCAUCCCGACUUACCAACCCGAUGCAAACUGCGAAUACCGGAGAAUGUUAUCACGGGAGACACACGGCGGGUGCUAACGUCCGUCGUGAAGAGGGAAACAACCCAGACCGCCAGCUAAGGUCCCAAAGUCAUGGUUAAGUGGGAAACGAUGUGGGAAGGCCCAGACAGCCAGGAUGUUGGCUUAGAAGCAGCCAUCAUUUAAAGAAAGCGUAAUAGCUCACUGGUCGAGUCGGCCUGCGCGGAAGAUGUAACGGGGCUAAACCAUGCACCGAAGCUGCGGCAGCGACGCUUAUGCGUUGUUGGGUAGGGGAGCGUUCUGUAAGCCUGUGAAGGUGUGCUGUGAGGCAUGCUGGAGGUAUCAGAAGUGCGAAUGCUGACAUAAGUAACGAUAAAGCGGGUGAAAAGCCCGCUCGCCGGAAGACCAAGGGUUCCUGUCCAACGUUAAUCGGGGCAGGGUGAGUCGACCCCUAAGGCGAGGCCGAAAGGCGUAGUCGAUGGGAAACAGGUUAAUAUUCCUGUACUUGGUGUUACUGCGAAGGGGGGACGGAGAAGGCUAUGUUGGCCGGGCGACGGUUGUCCCGGUUUAAGCGUGUAGGCUGGUUUUCCAGGCAAAUCCGGAAAAUCAAGGCUGAGGCGUGAUGACGAGGCACUACGGUGCUGAAGCAACAAAUGCCCUGCUUCCAGGAAAAGCCUCUAAGCAUCAGGUAACAUCAAAUCGUACCCCAAACCGACACAGGUGGUCAGGUAGAGAAUACCAAGGCGCUUGAGAGAACUCGGGUGAAGGAACUAGGCAAAAUGGUGCCGUAACUUCGGGAGAAGGCACGCUGAUAUGUAGGUGAAGUCCCUUGCGGAUGGAGCUGAAAUCAGUCGAAGAUACCAGCUGGCUGCAACUGUUUAUUAAAAACACAGCACUGUGCAAACACGAAAGUGGACGUAUACGGUGUGACGCCUGCCCGGUGCCGGAAGGUUAAUUGAUGGGGUCAGCGCAAGCGAAGCUCUUGAUCGAAGCCCCGGUAAACGGCGGCCGUAACUAUAACGGUCCUAAGGUAGCGAAAUUCCUUGUCGGGUAAGUUCCGACCUGCACGAAUGGCGUAAUGAUGGCCAGGCUGUCUCCACCCGAGACUCAGUGAAAUUGAACUCGCUGUGAAGAUGCAGUGUACCCGCGGCAAGACGGAAAGACCCCGUGAACCUUUACUAUAGCUUGACACUGAACAUUGAGCCUUGAUGUGUAGGAUAGGUGGGAGGCUUUGAAGUGUGGACGCCAGUCUGCAUGGAGCCGACCUUGAAAUACCACCCUUUAAUGUUUGAUGUUCUAACGUGGACCCGUGAUCCGGGUUGCGGACAGUGUCUGGUGGGUAGUUUGACUGGGGCGGUCUCCUCCUAAAGAGUAACGGAGGAGCACGAAGGUUGGCUAAUCCUGGUCGGACAUCAGGAGGUUAGUGCAAUGGCAUAAGCCAGCUUGACUGCGAGCGUGACGGCGCGAGCAGGUGCGAAAGCAGGUCAUAGUGAUCCGGUGGUUCUGAAUGGAAGGGCCAUCGCUCAACGGAUAAAAGGUACUCCGGGGAUAACAGGCUGAUACCGCCCAAGAGUUCAUAUCGACGGCGGUGUUUGGCACCUCGAUGUCGGCUCAUCACAUCCUGGGGCUGAAGUAGGUCCCAAGGGUAUGGCUGUUCGCCAUUUAAAGUGGUACGCGAGCUGGGUUUAGAACGUCGUGAGACAGUUCGGUCCCUAUCUGCCGUGGGCGCUGGAGAACUGAGGGGGGCUGCUCCUAGUACGAGAGGACCGGAGUGGACGCAUCACUGGUGUUCGGGUUGUCAUGCCAAUGGCACUGCCCGGUAGCUAAAUGCGGAAGAGAUAAGUGCUGAAAGCAUCUAAGCACGAAACUUGCCCCGAGAUGAGUUCUCCCUGACCCUUUAAGGGUCCUGAAGGAACGUUGAAGACGACGACGUUGAUAGGCCGGGUGUGUAAGCGCAGCGAUGCGUUGAGCUAACCGGUACUAAUGAACCGUGAGGCUUAACCUUACAACGCCGAAGCUGUU
This 2042-nucleotide ribosomal RNA is filed under the name Escherichia coli. RNAcentral's name for it is "bacterial LSU rRNA". It matches the Rfam family "Bacterial large subunit ribosomal RNA", at positions 923 to 2925 of the family's 2925-position model. Lineage: Bacteria; Pseudomonadati; Pseudomonadota; Gammaproteobacteria; Enterobacterales; Enterobacteriaceae. The record is from RNAcentral.